This is a non-coding RNA of Gossypium raimondii (Peruvian cotton), 143 nucleotides long. The record is from Rfam. Lineage: Eukaryota; Viridiplantae; Streptophyta; Magnoliopsida; Malvales; Malvaceae.
CUGUUAAAUUUUCAUCUAUUUGUAGUAUUAAAAAUUGGCGUGGUUGGUAAAAUAAUUAGAUGGUGACAAGUGGUGUGCCACUAUCCCUCCGACUUAUGUACAAUAACAGUUUUUAACAAUAGAAAUGAAUGAAAUUUUUAAGA